This 834-nucleotide ribosomal RNA is filed under the name Triticum aestivum (bread wheat). Its description in RNAcentral is "partial small subunit ribosomal RNA". The record is from RNAcentral. Lineage: Eukaryota; Viridiplantae; Streptophyta; Magnoliopsida; Poales; Poaceae.
AUGGCAUUUGGAGAGGGUUGGCAUAGGGCCCUACGGGAGCUGUGUGCUGGCGACGCCAAGAAGCUGGAGUAUGCGCGUGAGCACAAGUUUCACCACGCAAUAACUACAGCACAACUACCACCAAGUCUCACUGAAUUCAACUUCUUUACUGCAUCACUCCACCUCUCUUUACUACGUCUCCUCUUUCUUCAACUACUUAACAUCAACCUCACUGGAUCUCCGCAACUUCACCUCACUCGCUACUUCUCUCACAACCACAUCCUCUCUGCACCCAUGGCUGGUUCCUCCUCCACACCAGACCCAUGGCUCAACCCAUUCCCCACUGGCAAGGGCUGGGUUGCCAUGCUAUUUGGUUCGGCGCGCGGUGACCAGGAUCUAUUCCUGGACUACAUGAAGAUAGCUACGAGAUACAACAGCGCGGAUGGACUAGUAGAUGUUGCUGACCUAGUCCAGAAGAAGGCGACGCCUCAAGAGAAGAAGUGCAUGCAACAGAGCUAUGGAACUAAAGGUAAGGGUAUCCUACCCAUCGACACUCUACUAUGGGCAAUGAGAGAGGCAGAGUCCUCCGAUGAUGGCCAGCGUAAGCGAUGGGAAGCCCACCGCUAUGUUGCUCCGACACAAGCUGCAACUGAUGUAGCAGUGCAGGAAGAGGACGAUGACGACUUGCAGAUAGUUGCGCCACCUGCAGAGCAGGCUCGCCGCCGUCCCCCUCCCAUCAUCGUCAUCGACGAAGACGAUGAAGAGGAGGAAGUGCAGAAGCAGACAGAUCCAAGGAAGAUCAAGCAAAUCAUGCGUCGCUCUGCACGCUUAGCAAAUCCUAAAGAUGAGCAGUAG